CAAAGGAAAGCACAGAAGUCAUGGUUUCAGACCAUACAUCAGACAUGCAAAGAAAUAUUGCUGUGAAAGCAGGGGGGAACCUAAAAAAAAAACAACAAAACACCCCAGCUUUGGUUCCCAAAGCUAAAAACAAAUUUAAAAUAAAAUCAGAGUUCUACUGUUUCAUCACCUUCAGGUUCCCCAGGACGGAAGGACAGCAUUGCUUUUCUGCUUUUCACCCCAGGACAGAAAAUGCCACCAUAACACCGUGCUUCCAACAGCAAAAGGACAGACAGGAGAAAUCCCUGCUGCCUACCCAGACCUUGAGAGACUUCUUGGGACACCAGGAACCAGGAGCCUUUCCCUCUCUGUGCUGGGGAGGAGAGCUACAGGCCAUGGAGAGAGUUUGCAGCUGCCUUUGCAAACCAUCCCAGCCCUGCAGUGGUGGGCCAGCUCCCUGUCUGCAUUGCAGGUCACACCAUCAGCACCAGCACACCGGCUGGCACAGCCCAGGGAGCAGCAAAGCCUGACCUGGCACAGGGAGGAGGAGAGCAGGGCUGGGAAAUGCUUUCACCCAGGUCUACCACUGAAGCCACCACAUUGUACAACCUCAUCCUGCAAGGCUGCAGCAGCUCAAGGAUCCUGAAGAAAUCAUCCUUUGCUGCCAAGACACGUUUCUCUCUAGCAGGGACAGGAAUUCCUAUUUCCUGGGAACAAGGGAAGCUCACUAAAAACUGUUGCUUGUGUAUGACCUGCUGUCCAUUGUAGCUUCUCUAAUAAAAGCACCCAUUUCAAUCA
Long non-coding RNA from Serinus canaria (Common canary), 777 nucleotides. NCBI's taxonomy places the organism in Eukaryota, Metazoa, Chordata, Aves, Passeriformes, Fringillidae. The record is from Ensembl.